AUAAGGUUAAGUGAAUAAGGGCGCACGGUGGAUGCCUUGGCACUAGGAGCCGAUGAAGGACGGGACUAACACCGAUAUGCUUUGGGGAGCUGUACGUAAGCUAUGAUCCAGAGAUUUCCGAAUGGGGAAACCCAACAUCUUUUAUAGGAUGUUACGUUUGCGUGAAUACAUAGCGCAUUCGAGGUAGACGCAGAGAACUGAAACAUCUAAGUACCUGCAGGAAGAGAAAGAAAAUUCGAUUCCCUGAGUAGCGGCGAGCGAAACGGGAAAAGCCCAAACCAAUGAGCUUGCUCAUUGGGGUUGUAGGACUCCAAUAUGGUAGUUCUUUCAGAUAAUCGAAUGACUUGGAAAAGUCAGUCAAAGAGGGUAAAAACCCCGUAGAUGAAAUUUGGAAGGCACCUAGGAGGAUCCUGAGUACGGCGGAACACGAGGAAUUCCGUCGGAAUCCGGGAGGACCAUCUCCCAAGGCUAAAUACUCCCUAGUGACCGAUAGUGAACCAGUACCGUGAGGGAAAGGUGAAAAGCACCCCGGAAGGGGAGUGAAAUAGAACCUGAAACCGUGUGCCUACAACAAGUCAAAGCCCGUUAAUGGGUGAUGGCGUGCCUUUUGUAGAAUGAACCGGCGAGUUACGAUUGCAUGCGAGGUUAAGUCGAAGAGACGGAGCCGCAGCGAAAGCGAGUCUGAAUAGGGCGUUUGAGUAUGUAGUCGUAGACCCGAAACCAUGUGAUCUACCCAUGUCCAGGUUGAAGGUGCGGUAAAACGCACUGGAGGACCGAACCCACGUACGUUGAAAAGUGCGGGGAUGAGGUGUGGGUAGCGGAGAAAUUCCAAACGAACUUGGAGAUAGCUGGUUCUCUCCGAAAUAGCUUUAGGGCUAGCCUCGGAUUUGAGAAUGAUGGAGGUAGAGCACUGUUUGGACUAGGGGCCCAUCUCGGGUUACCGAAUUCAGAUAAACUCCGAAUGCCAUUCAUUCAUAUCCGGGAGUCAGACUGUGAGUGAUAAGAUCCAUAGUCGAAAGGGAAACAGCCCAGACCACCAGCUAAGGUCCCAAAAUAUAUGUUAAGUGGAAAAGGAUGUGGGGUUGCACAGACAACUAGGAUGUUGGCUCAGAAGCAGCCACCAUUUAAAGAGUGCGUAAUAGCUCACUAGUCGAGUGACCCUGCGCCGAAAAUGUACCGGGGCUAAACAUAUUACCGAAGCUGUGGAGUACACCAUUAGGUGUAUUGGUAGGAGAGCGUUCUAAGGGCGUUGAAGGCAGAUCGUGAGGACUGCUGGAGCGCUUAGAAGUGAGAAUGCCGGUAUGAGUAGCGAAAGACAGGUGAGAAUCCUGUCCACCGAAUGACUAAGGUUUCCUGGGGAAGGCUCGUCCGCCCAGGGUUAGUCGGGACCUAAGCCGAGGCCGACAGGCGUAGGCGAUGGACAACAGGUUGAUAUUCCUGUACUCGUUGUUUUUGUUUGAGCAAUGGAGGGACGCAGGAGGCUAAGGAAUGCAGACGAUUGGAAAUGUCUGUCCAAGCAGUAAGUCUUGAUAGGAGUCAAAUGCUUCUGUCUACACGGAUAAGCUGUGAUGGGGAGGGAAAUAAUAGUACCGAAGUUCCUGAUGUCACACUGCCAAGAAAAGCUUCUAGUGAGAAAACAAUGACCCGUACCGCAAACCGACACAGGUAGUCGAGGAGAGAAUCCUAAGGUGAGCGAGAGAACUCUCGUUAAGGAACUCGGCAAAAUGACCCCGUAACUUCGGGAGAAGGGGUGCUGAUUUUCGAUCAGCCGCAGUGAAUAGGCCCAAGCGACUGUUUAUCAAAAACACAGGUCUCUGCAAAAUCGUAAGAUGAAGUAUAGGGGCUGACGCCUGCCCGGUGCUGGAAGGUUAAGAGGAGUGCUUAGCGUAAGCGAAGGUACGAAUUGAAGCCCCAGUAAACGGCGGCCGUAACUAUAACGGUCCUAAGGUAGCGAAAUUCCUUGUCGGGUAAGUUCCGACCCGCACGAAAGGCGUAACGAUUUGGGCACUGUCUCAACGAGAGACUCGGUGAAAUUUUAGUACCUGUGAAGAUGCAGGUUACCCGCGACAGGACGGAAAGACCCCAUGGAGCUUUACUGUAGUUUGAUAUUGAGUGUCUGUACCGCAUGUACAGGAUAGGUAGGAGCCGUAGAAAUCGGAACGCUAGUUUCGAUGGAGGCGCUGGUGGGAUACUACCCCUGCGUUAUGGCCACUCUAACCCGCACCACUGAUCGUGGUGGGAGACAGUGUCAGAUGGGCAGUUUGACUGGGGCGGUCGCCUCCUAAAAGGUAACGGAGGCGCCCAAAGGUUCCCUCAGAAUGGUUGGAAAUCAUUCGAAGAGUGUAAAGGCAGAAGGGAGCUUGACUGCGAGACCAACAAGUCGAGCAGGGACGAAAGUCGGGCUUAGUGAUCCGGUGGUUCCGCAUGGAAGGGCCAUCGCUCAACGGAUAAAAGCUACCCUGGGGAUAACAGGCUUAUCUCCCCCAAGAGUCCACAUCGACGGGGAGGUUUGGCACCUCGAUGUCGGCUCGUCGCAUCCUGGGGCUGUAGUCGGUCCCAAGGGUUGGGCUGUUCGCCCAUUAAAGCGGCACGCGAGCUGGGUUCAGAACGUCGUGAGACAGUUCGGUCCCUAUCCGUCGCGGGCGUUGGAAAUUUGAGAGGAGCUGUCCUUAGUACGAGAGGACCGGGAUGGACUUACCGCUGGUGUACCAGUUGUUCUGCCAAGGGCAUUGCUGGGUAGCUAUGUAGGGAAGGGAUAAACGCUGAAAGCAUCUAAGUGUGAAGCCCACCUCAAGAUGAGAUUUCCCAUUUCUUUAAGAAAGUAAGAUCCCUGAGAGAUGAUCAGGUAGAUAGGUCAGGAGUGGAAGGCCAGUGAUGGUUGGAGCGGACUGAUACUAAUCGAUCGAGGACUUAACCAAA
Molecule: ribosomal RNA, 2919 nt
Filed under: Enterococcus durans
Lineage: Bacteria; Bacillati; Bacillota; Bacilli; Lactobacillales; Enterococcaceae
Description: bacterial LSU rRNA
Rfam family: Bacterial large subunit ribosomal RNA
Source: RNAcentral